This 263-nucleotide signal recognition particle RNA is filed under the name Clostridia bacterium. RNAcentral's name for it is "signal recognition particle sRNA large type". It matches the Rfam family "Bacterial large signal recognition particle RNA". From Rfam's summary of the family: The signal recognition particle (SRP) is a universally conserved ribonucleoprotein involved in the co-translational targeting of proteins to membranes. Archaeal SRP consists of a 7S RNA and homologues of the eukaryotic SRP19 and SRP54 proteins. In most bacteria, the SRP consists of a 4.5S RNA and the Ffh protein (a homologue of the eukaryotic SRP54 protein). The record is from RNAcentral. Lineage: Bacteria; Bacillati; Bacillota; Clostridia.
UCAUACUACCCGGGGAGCCAGCGGUGCCCUGAACCUGCAAUCCGCUCCAGCAGGGGGGAAGGCCAUUCUGAGGGCAGUAUUUGUGUCGCUGCGUGUACGGGAAACCGUUGAGAAACGGGUCCUGCGCAAUUCGCAUCUGUGAACCAUGUCAGGUGGGGAACCAAGCAGCAUUAAGCAGACCCGCGGAUGUGUUGCAGGUUCGCCUGUUUUGAGGUGGAACGGACAUUCCCGGACGGAAGUGCUGUUCGAAAUUGGAUGUAUGG